ACAUAUCAAUAAGCGGAGGAAAAGAAACCAACAGGGAUUGCCCUAGUAACGGCGAGUGAAGCGGCAACAGCUCAAAUUUGAAAUCUGGCUUCGGCCCGAGUUGUAAUUUGCAGAGGAUGUUUCUGGCGCGGUGCCUUCCGAGUUCCCUGGAACGGGACGCCACAGAGGGUGAGAGCCCCGUAUGGUUGGACACCAAGCCUGUGUGAAACUCCUUCGACGAGUCGAGUAGUUUGGGAAUGCUGCUCAAAAUGGGAGGUAAAUCUCUUCUAAAGCUAAAUACCGGCCAGAGACCGAUAGCGCACAAGUAGAGUGAUCGAAAGAUGAAAAGCACCUUGAAAAGGGGGUUAAACAGUACGUGAAAUUGUUGAAAGGGAAGCGCUUGUGACCAGACUUGCGCCGGGCGGUUCAUCCGGGGUUCUCCCCGGUGCACUCCGCCCGGCUCAGGCCAGCAUCGGUUUUCGUUGGGGGAUAAGAACGGCAGGAACGUGGCCCUCCUUCGGGUGGGUGUUAUAGCCUGCCGUACGAUACCCUGACGGGGACCGAGGUUCGCGCUCCGCAAGGAUGCUGGCGUAAUGGUCAUCAGCGACCCGUCUUGAAACACGGACCAAGGAGUCGUCCAUUAGAGCGAGCGUUUGGGUGUCAAACCCGCACGCGUAAUGAAAGUGAAAUUAGGUGAGAGCUUCGGCGCAUCAUCGACCGAUCCUGAUGUUCUCGGAUGGAUUUGAGUAAGAGUUUUAACGGACGGACCCGAAAGACAGUGAACUAUGCUUGUAUAGGGUGAAGCCAGAGGAAACUCUGGUGGAGGCUCGCAGCGGUUCUGACGUGCAAAUCGAUCGUCAAAUAUGAGCAUGGGGGCGAAAGACUAAUCGAACUGUCUAGUAGCUGGUUACCGC
RNAcentral lists this ribosomal RNA (893 nucleotides) under Cryphonectria parasitica (chestnut blight fungus). RNAcentral describes it as "partial large subunit ribosomal RNA". It matches the Rfam family "Eukaryotic large subunit ribosomal RNA", at positions 38 to 961 of the family's 3401-position model. The record is from RNAcentral. Lineage: Eukaryota; Fungi; Ascomycota; Sordariomycetes; Diaporthales; Cryphonectriaceae.